CAGUUUAAUCAAAGCAACACUGAUGAUUCGACGACUGAAAAAGGAUGUCCUUUCUGAACUCCCUCAGAAGCGGAGGCAACAGGUUUUCCUAAACUUGGGGGAGAAGGAGAUGAGACAAGUUAAUGCUCUAUUUCGUGAGUUGGAGGUCAUUAAGGCGAAAGGCAAAUCAGCUCAGUCCGAGGAGGAGGCUAAUUCUCUUAAGUUUGCAGAGAAGAGCCUCAUCAGUAAGAUUUACACUGCCUCCGCUGAGGCCAAAAUUCCAGCAGUUUUGGAUUACCUAGGAACCAUGGUUGAGGCAAACUGCAAGUUCCUGAUAUUUGCACAUCAUCAAUCAAUG
RNAcentral lists this unclassified non-coding RNA (337 nucleotides) under Hevea brasiliensis (rubber tree). The record is from RNAcentral. Lineage: Eukaryota; Viridiplantae; Streptophyta; Magnoliopsida; Malpighiales; Euphorbiaceae.